CGUAGUUUAAAGGUAGAACGGCUUAGUUCGUCAUUUCAAAUUCUCGUCGCGCGAUUCUCUUUCCAUAUCAUUCCCUUUCACGCGAAUGCAGAUGGGACUACAUCAGGAUCUAUUGGUUGCAGGUUCGAGUCCUGCCGCUGGCCUCCA
This 147-nucleotide transfer RNA is filed under the name Pelagicoccus sp. SDUM812003. RNAcentral's name for it is "tRNA-OTHER". Lineage: Bacteria; Pseudomonadati; Verrucomicrobiota; Opitutia; Puniceicoccales; Pelagicoccaceae. The record is from RNAcentral.